Molecule: ribosomal RNA, 635 nt
Filed under: Scrippsiella phycobiana
Lineage: Eukaryota; Dinophyceae; Peridiniales; Peridiniaceae
Description: partial large subunit ribosomal RNA
Rfam family: Eukaryotic large subunit ribosomal RNA
Source: RNAcentral
UAAGCAUAUAAGUAAGCGGAGGAAAAGAAACUAAAUAGGAUUCCCUCAGUAAUGGCGAAUGAACAGGGAUGAGCUCAGCAUGGAAAUUGGGGCCUGUGGCCUUGAAUUGUAGUCUGGAGAUGUACCACCAACUGGGGCGCAGAUGUAAGCCUCUUGGAAAAGAGCAUCAAUGAGGGUGAGAGUCCCGCUUGGCAUCUGCAGUCCCCAGUGCACGGUGUACCUUCUAAGAGUCACGUUCCUCGGGAUUGGAGCGCAAAUCGGGUGGUAAGUUUCAUCUAAAGCUAAAUAUAGUUUCGAGACCGAUAGCAAACAAGUACCAUGAGGGAAAGGUGAAAAGGACUUUGAAAAGAGAGUUAAAAGUGCCUGAAAUUGCUGAAAGGGAAGCGAAUGGAAUCAGCGUAACUUGGCGAGAUUGCUGCGCGUCAAUGUGAUUGCUUGCUGCUUCAACGUAAGUGUGGUAGUAAGUCUUGAGCAGGACAUGCGCGGUGCUUCUUGCCUUGUGUGUCACCGUCAGUUCGCAGCUGGGGAAAACUUCAAGGACAUGGUAGCCUGCCUCCGGGUGGGUGAAUGUGCUUGCUGGAACUCAUGUGUGGACUGCUUGGUGACUAAAUGGUUCCAUCUGACCCGUCUUGAAA